ACCAGCGGGCUCCGCCCCCUGGGCGGGAAGGAGAGGGCGGGGUGAGGUCUCGGGUGGUGGUGGUUUUAUUUUCUUUUUUCUCAAACCACACUUGACUUCUGCAGCUUCCUUUCAGAUCCCGAAGGAAGAUUUAUGGGGUUUGAAGUAAACCUUGACAAUCCCUUCGAACUGCACGCCCCUCACGUUGAAGGGGGGUCUACAGGCCUGCGAGCACCACACAACGAGUCAGAGAGCGGGUUAAAGGGAGGCUGGAGCACCUACCAUCGGGGACAGAGGAGAGAGACGCAGGAAGGGGCCGGCGGCCAGCCCGGGAUGGCCCCACAGACCGGGAAGAUGCUCUCGGGCCGGUUCCUGCGUCAGCCCCGGGGGCCUCGCAGCCGGGCCCCGCUCCUCCGUGAACGUGGCCCAAGGGGCAGUUCUGCUGGGAAGAAAGAUGGGCACGGGCUGCGCCAACAGGAGCGAACGUUUGGGCGCCAAGAACGAUGAGCAGUUCUGACCUUUCAUCAAAUCUAAGGAAGCCAAGGAUGCCUGGGGCUGGGAUUACAUUGAGAGGAGGGGAUCGCCAGGAGGAAGAGAGUGUGCCUCGCCCCCUAUCUGCUACUUGAGAAAAAAUGAAUUCAAAGUCCCACUGAAUACUGGGCGGUCUGCCCAUCUGCCUUUUUGUUGUUGUUCUUCGCUAGAAUUUCUUUGCUGGUUUCCAUCUGGGUUUAGUCUGUGUCACUGCCUGUGUGGGGCGGUUCCUGGGAGUAUGGGAGAUGAGUGCAGUGUGUUCCUACGCUGGUUUCUUCGUGCACAAAGGUGGCAGGCUGGAGUGGUUAAGACAAGCAGCGGAGAGAUGGACCUCUGUGUGCAGGACCCCUACCACACCUGGACUGAGGUGAACAGGAGAACAGAGUCCAGCAAACUAAAAUUGGGUCCAACCGGUCACAUCAUCAGAAUAUGUGUUUCCCACUUGAAGUCCUCUCUGGAACUGUUGCAACCCGCCACGUGCCAUAGAAACACAUCGGCUCAUAAGACUGUCUACAGAUUCUUGCCAAAAACUGUCUGCUGCUCACUCGAAGAUUGUUUCUCCCCUUUCUGUCCCCCAAAAAGAAAAACCAAUGGUCUUCCUAAAAAGCUUACUUUCCUUUACAGAAGUUUCUCUUGU
This is a long non-coding RNA of Equus caballus (horse), 1147 nucleotides long. RefSeq lists it as uncharacterized. NCBI's taxonomy places the organism in Eukaryota, Metazoa, Chordata, Mammalia, Perissodactyla, Equidae. The record is from RefSeq and is a predicted model, not a curated record.